RNAcentral lists this ribosomal RNA (228 nucleotides) under uncultured bacterium. Its description in RNAcentral is "partial 16S ribosomal RNA". It matches the Rfam family "Bacterial small subunit ribosomal RNA", at positions 568 to 795 of the family's 1533-position model. The record is from RNAcentral.
UCCGUAGGCGGGUAAUUAAGUCAGAGGUGAAAUCCCACAGCUUAACUGUGGAACUGCCUUAGAUACUGGUUAUCUUGAGUUUUAGUGAAGUAGAUAGAAUGUGUAGUGUAGCGGUGAAAUGCAUAGAUAUUACACAGAAUACCGAUUGCGAAGGCAGUCUACUAACUAACAACUGACGCUAAUGGACGAAAGCGUGGGGAGCGAACAGGAUUAGAUACCCUGGUAGUC